This 269-nucleotide unclassified non-coding RNA is filed under the name fungal sp. Its description in RNAcentral is "partial internal transcribed spacer region". The stretch from base 1 to 46 matches the Rfam family "Eukaryotic small subunit ribosomal RNA", at positions 1786 to 1831 of the family's 1831-position model. The record is from RNAcentral. Lineage: Eukaryota; Fungi.
AAGUCGUAACAAGGUUUCCGUAGGUGAACCUGCGGAAGGAUCAUUAACACGUAUCCAACGUUAAACCCCCCGUGCACCUUCACAGAGCGCGCUGCUCCUCUCGACGUCAGCAAUCCUGGUAAAUCAGUGGCGAAAGUAGUCUUUGAUUCAGGACCUCUGAAGUUGUAAGCAGGCAGUUUGAGCCUUCUAUCGCCAGUCUGGAGUCCUGGCACAAGUGCGCCGUGGUAGAGGAAAACGUACAACUGUUAACAAUGGAUAUCUUGGUUCUC